RNAcentral lists this ribosomal RNA (253 nucleotides) under uncultured bacterium. Its description in RNAcentral is "partial 16S ribosomal RNA". It matches the Rfam family "Bacterial small subunit ribosomal RNA", at positions 524 to 776 of the family's 1533-position model. The record is from RNAcentral.
UACGUAGGAGGCAAGCGUUGUCCGGAAUUACUGGGCGUAAAGCGCGUGUAGGUGGUGGGACAAGUCUGCUGUGAAAGCGCCUGGCUUAACCGGGCGAGGUCGGCGGAAACUGUCCGACUCGAGGACGGUAGAGGGGGGUGGAAUUCCCGGUGUAGUGGUGAAAUGCGUAGAUAUCGGGAGGAACACCAGUGGCGAAGGCGACUUCCUGGCCUGUUCUUGACGCUGAGGCGCGAAAGCUAGGGGAGCAAACGGG